AUGCUUGUUGCAACAAAGAAGCAUGUUCUUUAUGAUUUGGUCUACUUACUCAUCAAAUUGAUAUUGAUUUUACCGGUGUCAACGACGAGUGUUGAAAGGGUAUUUUCGGCAAUGAACCUAGUGAAAAGUAAAUUGAGGACUAGUGUGAGUGAUGAUCGCUUGAAUGAUUGCUUGGUGACAUUUAUUGAGCAAGAUGUGUUCAUGAAAGUAAGUGAAUAG
Molecule: ribosomal RNA, 219 nt
Filed under: Triticum aestivum (bread wheat)
Lineage: Eukaryota; Viridiplantae; Streptophyta; Magnoliopsida; Poales; Poaceae
Description: partial small subunit ribosomal RNA
Source: RNAcentral